GGCCCCAUCGUAUAGCGGCCUAGUACUCCGCCCUCUCACGCGGCAACACGGGUUCGAAUCCCGUUGGGUCACCA
RNAcentral lists this transfer RNA (74 nucleotides) under Glutamicibacter arilaitensis. RNAcentral describes it as "tRNA-Glu". It matches the Rfam family "tRNA". Rfam says of the family: Transfer RNA (tRNA) molecules are approximately 80 nucleotides in length. Their secondary structure includes four short double-helical elements and three loops (D, anti-codon, and T loops). Further hydrogen bonds mediate the characteristic L-shaped molecular structure. tRNAs have two regions of fundamental functional importance: the anti-codon, which is responsible for specific mRNA codon recognition, and the 3' end, to which the tRNAs corresponding amino acid is attached (by aminoacyl-tRNA synthetases). tRNAs cope with the degeneracy of the genetic code in two manners: having more than one tRNA (with a specific anti-codon) for a particular amino acid; and 'wobble' base-pairing, i.e. permitting non-standard base-pairing at the 3rd anti-codon position. Lineage: Bacteria; Bacillati; Actinomycetota; Actinomycetes; Micrococcales; Micrococcaceae. The record is from RNAcentral.